UCCCUGGUGGCUCAGAUGGUAAAGUGUCUGCCUACAAUGCAGGAGACCCAGGUUCAAUCCCUGGGUUGGGAA
RNAcentral lists this transfer RNA (72 nucleotides) under Odocoileus virginianus texanus. It matches the Rfam family "tRNA". From Rfam's summary of the family: Transfer RNA (tRNA) molecules are approximately 80 nucleotides in length. Their secondary structure includes four short double-helical elements and three loops (D, anti-codon, and T loops). The record is from Rfam by way of RNAcentral. Lineage: Eukaryota; Metazoa; Chordata; Mammalia; Artiodactyla; Cervidae. RNAcentral also lists the same sequence under 9 other names.